Molecule: ribosomal RNA, 220 nt
Filed under: uncultured soil bacterium
Lineage: Bacteria
Description: partial 16S ribosomal RNA
Rfam family: Bacterial small subunit ribosomal RNA
Source: RNAcentral
AGAUUGAACGCUGGCGGCAUGCCUUACACAUGCAAGUCGAACGGCAGCACGGGAGCAAUCCUGGUGGCGAGUGGCGAACGGGUGAGUAAUAUAUCGGAACGUGCCCAGUCGUGGGGGAUAACGCAGCGAAAGCUGUGCUAAUACCGCAUACGAUCUAUGGAUGAAAGCGGGGAUCGCAACGACCUCGCGCGAUUGGAGCGGCCGAUAUCAGAUUAGCUUA